UACGUAGGGUGCGAGCGUUAAUCGGAAUUACUGGGCGUAAAGCGUGCGCAGGCGGUUCGUUGUGUCGGUGGUGAAAUCCCCGGGCUUAACCUGGGAAUGGCCAUGGAAACUGGCGAACUGGAGUGCGGCAGAGGGGGGUGGAAUUCCGCGUGUAGCAGUGAAAUGCGUAGAGAUGUGGAGGAACACCAGUGGCGAAGGCGACUCUUUGGCCUGUAACUGACGCUGAGGCGCGAAAGCGUGGGGAGCAAACAGG
RNAcentral lists this ribosomal RNA (253 nucleotides) under uncultured bacterium. Its description in RNAcentral is "partial 16S ribosomal RNA". It matches the Rfam family "Bacterial small subunit ribosomal RNA", at positions 524 to 776 of the family's 1533-position model. The record is from RNAcentral.